AGCGUACACGGUGGAUGCCCUGGCAGUCAGAGGCGAUGAAGGACGUGCUAAUCUGCGAUAAGCGUCGGUGAGGUGAUAUGAACCGUUAUAACCGGCGAUUUCCGAAUGGGGAAACCCAGUGUGUUUCGACACACUAUCAUUAACUGAAUCCAUAGGUUAAUGAGGCGAACCGGGGGAACUGAAACAUCUAAGUACCCCGAGGAAAAGAAAUCAACCGAGAUUCCCCCAGUAGCGGCGAGCGAACGGGGAGGAGCCCAGAGCCUGAAUCAGUGUGUGUGUUAGUGGAAGCGUCUGGAAAGGCGCGCGAUACAGGGUGACAGCCCCGUACACAAAAAUGCACAUAUUGUGAGCUCGAUGAGUAGGGCGGGACACGUGGUAUCCUGUCUGAAUAUGGGGGGACCAUCCUCCAAGGCUAAAUACUCCUGACUGACCGAUAGUGAACCAGUACCGUGAGGGAAAGGCGAAAAGAACCCCGGCGAGGGGAGUGAAAAAGAACCUGAAACCGUGUACGUACAAGCAGUGGGAGCCUCUUAAUGGGGUGACUGCGUACCUUUUGUAUAAUGGGUCAGCGACUUAUAUUCUGUAGCAAGGUUAACCGAAUAGGGGAGCCGAAGGGAAACCGAGUCUUAACUGGGCGUUAAGUUGCAGGGUAUAGACCCGAAACCCGGUGAUCUAGCCAUGGGCAGGUUGAAGGUUGGGUAACACUAACUGGAGGACCGAACCGACUAAUGUUGAAAAAUUAGCGGAUGACUUGUGGCUGGGGGUGAAAGGCCAAUCAAACCGGGAGAUAGCUGGUUCUCCCCGAAAGCUAUUUAGGUAGCGCCUCGUGAAUUCAUCUCCGGGGGUAGAGCACUGUUUCGGCAAGGGGGUCAUCCCGACUUACCAACCCGAUGCAAACUGCGAAUACCGGAGAAUGUUAUCACGGGAGACACACGGCGGGUGCUAACGUCCGUCGUGAAGAGGGAAACAACCCAGACCGCCAGCUAAGGUCCCAAAGUCAUGGUUAAGUGGGAAACGAUGUGGGAAGGCCCAGACAGCCAGGAUGUUGGCUUAGAAGCAGCCAUCAUUUAAAGAAAGCGUAAUAGCUCACUGGUCGAGUCGGCCUGCGCGGAAGAUGUAACGGGGCUAAACCAUGCACCGAAGCUGCGGCAGCGACACUAUGUGUUGUUGGGUAGGGGAGCGUUCUGUAAGCCUGUGAAGGUGGCCUGUGAGGGUUGCUGGAGGUAUCAGAAGUGCGAAUGCUGACAUAAGUAACGAUAAAGCGGGUGAAAAGCCCGCUCGCCGGAAGACCAAGGGUUCCUGUCCAACGUUAAUCGGGGCAGGGUGAGUCGACCCCUAAGGCGAGGCCGAAAGGCGUAGUCGAUGGGAAACAGGUUAAUAUUCCUGUACUUGGUGUUACUGCGAAGGGGGGACGGAGAAGGCUAUGUUGGCCGGGCGACGGUUGUCCCGGUUUAAGCGUGUAGGCUGGUUUUCCAGGCAAAUCCGGAAAACCAAGGCUGAGGCGUGAUGACGAGGCACUACGGUGCUGAAGCGACAAAUGCCCUGCUUCCAGGAAAAGCCUCUAAGCAUCAGGUAACAUCAAAUCGUACCCCAAACCGACACAGGUGGUCAGGUAGAGAAUACCAAGGCGCUUGAGAGAACUCGGGUGAAGGAACUAGGCAAAAUGGUGCCGUAACUUCGGGAGAAGGCACGCUGAUAUGUAGGUGAAGCGACUUGCUCGUGGAGCUGAAAUCAGUCGAAGAUACCAGCUGGCUGCAACUGUUUAUUAAAAACACAGCACUGUGCAAACACGAAAGUGGACGUAUACGGUGUGACGCCUGCCCGGUGCCGGAAGGUUAAUUGAUGGGGUUAGCGGUAACGCGAAGCUCUUGAUCGAAGCCCCGGUAAACGGCGGCCGUAACUAUAACGGUCCUAAGGUAGCGAAAUUCCUUGUCGGGUAAGUUCCGACCUGCACGAAUGGCGUAAUGAUGGCCAGGCUGUCUCCACCCGAGACUCAGUGAAAUUGAACUCGCUGUGAAGAUGCAGUGUACCCGCGGCAAGACGGAAAGACCCCGUGAACCUUUACUAUAGCUUGACACUGAACAUUGAGCCUUGAUGUGUAGGAUAGGUGGGAGGCUUUGAAGUGUGGACGCCAGUCUGCAUGGAGCCGACCUUGAAAUACCACCCUUUAAUGUUUGAUGUUCUAACGUUGGCCCGUAAUCCGGGUUGCGGACAGUGUCUGGUGGGUAGUUUGACUGGGGCGGUCUCCUCCUAAAGAGUAACGGAGGAGCACGAAGGUUGGCUAAUCCUGGUCGGACAUCAGGAGGUUAGUGCAAUGGCAUAAGCCAGCUUGACUGCGAGCGUGACGGCGCGAGCAGGUGCGAAAGCAGGUCAUAGUGAUCCGGUGGUUCUGAAUGGAAGGGCCAUCGCUCAACGGAUAAAAGGUACUCCGGGGAUAACAGGCUGAUACCGCCCAAGAGUUCAUAUCGACGGCGGUGUUUGGCACCUCGAUGUCGGCUCAUCACAUCCUGGGGCUGAAGUAGGUCCCAAGGGUAUGGCUGUUCGCCAUUUAAAGUGGUACGCGAGCUGGGUUUAGAACGUCGUGAGACAGUUCGGUCCCUAUCUGCCGUGGGCGCUGGAGAACUGAGGGGGGCUGCUCCUAGUACGAGAGGACCGGAGUGGACGCAUCACUGGUGUUCGGGUUGUCAUGCCAAUGGCACUGCCCGGUAGCUAAAUGCGGAAGAGAUAAGUGCUGAAAGCAUCUAAGCACGAAACUUGCCCCGAGAUGAGUUCUCCCUGACUCCUUGA
Molecule: ribosomal RNA, 2787 nt
Filed under: human gut metagenome
Description: bacterial LSU rRNA
Rfam family: Bacterial large subunit ribosomal RNA
Source: RNAcentral